This 974-nucleotide ribosomal RNA is filed under the name Clostridium sp. enrichment culture. Its description in RNAcentral is "bacterial SSU rRNA". It matches the Rfam family "Bacterial small subunit ribosomal RNA", at positions 426 to 1393 of the family's 1533-position model. Lineage: Bacteria; Bacillati; Bacillota; Clostridia; Eubacteriales; Clostridiaceae. The record is from RNAcentral.
UAAAGCACUUUUGUCAGGGAAGAAAAGGUUCUGGCUAAUACCCGGAACUGAUGACGGUACCUGAAGAAUAAGCACCGGCUAACUACGUGCCAGCAGCCGCGGUAAUACGUAGGGUGCAAGCGUUAAUCGGAAUUACUGGGCGUAAAGCGUGCGCAGGCGGUUCGGAAAGAAGGAUGUGAAAUCCCAGGGCUCAACCUUGGAACUGCAUUCUUAACUACCGAACUAGAGUAUGUCAGAGGGGGGUAGAAUUCCGCGUGUAGCAGUGAAAUGCGUAGAUAUGCGGAGGAAUACCGAUGGCGAAGGCAGCCCCCUGGGAUAAUACUGACGCUCAUGCACGAAAGCGUGGGUAGCAAACAGGAUUAGAUACCCUGGUAGUCCACGCCCUAAACGAUGUCAACUAGCUGUUGGGCCCUUCGGGGCUUAGUAGCGUAGCUAACGCGUGAAGUUGACCGCCUGGGGAGUACGGUCGCAAGAUUAAAACUCAAAGGAAUUGACGGGGACCCGCACAAGCGGUGGAUGAUGUGGAUUAAUUCGAUGCAACGCGAAAAACCUUACCUACCCUUGACAUGUCUGGAAUCCUUUAGAGAUAGAGGAGUGCUCGCAAGAGAACCGGAACACAGGUGCUGCAUGGCUGUCGUUAGCUCGUGUCGUGAGAUGUUGGGUUAAGUCCCGCAACGAGCGCAACCCUUGUCAUUAGUUGCCAGCAUUCAGUUGGGCACUCUAAUGAGACUGCCGGUGACAAACCGGAGGAAGGUGGGGAUGACGUCAAGUCCUCAUGGCCCUUAUGGGUAGGGCUUCACACGUCAUACAAUGGUCGGGACAGAGGGUUGCCAAACCGCGAGGUGGAGCCAAUCUCAGAAACCCGAUCGUAGUCCGGAUUGCAGGCUGCAACUCGCCUGCAUGAAGUCGGAAUCGCUAGUAAUCGCGGAUCAGCAUGUCGCGGUGAAUACGUUCCCGGGUCUUGUACACACCGA